GGGGCCUUAGCUCAGCUGGGAGAGCGCUUCGCUGGCAGCGAAGAGGUCAGGAGUUCGAUCCUCCUAGGCUCCACCA
This 76-nucleotide transfer RNA is filed under the name Pseudovibrio ascidiaceicola. RNAcentral describes it as "tRNA_Ala_GGC". It matches the Rfam family "tRNA". Rfam says of the family: Transfer RNA (tRNA) molecules are approximately 80 nucleotides in length. Their secondary structure includes four short double-helical elements and three loops (D, anti-codon, and T loops). Lineage: Bacteria; Pseudomonadati; Pseudomonadota; Alphaproteobacteria; Hyphomicrobiales; Stappiaceae. RNAcentral also lists the same sequence under 49 other names. The record is from RNAcentral.